CCGCGCUAGACGGGGAGGUAGCGGUGCCCUGUAACCUGCAACCCGCUGUAGCAGGGUUGAAUUCCUGAGCUGAGGGCAUACCUUGUGGGGUCUGGCCUUGGUAAGUGGCGAAGAAGUUUGGGUCCUGCGCAACAGGAGGUCCUGAACCGUGUCAGGUCCGGGAGGAAGCAGCACUAAGGGAUUUUUCUUGUGUGCCGCAGGGGAGCCUGGAUGGAGUUAACUGCCCGGGUAACGCCCGGAAGGUCUGUUCGAAGCCAGGUGCGCGG
RNAcentral lists this signal recognition particle RNA (266 nucleotides) under Syntrophothermus lipocalidus. Its description in RNAcentral is "signal recognition particle sRNA large type". It matches the Rfam family "Bacterial large signal recognition particle RNA". From Rfam's summary of the family: The signal recognition particle (SRP) is a universally conserved ribonucleoprotein involved in the co-translational targeting of proteins to membranes. Archaeal SRP consists of a 7S RNA and homologues of the eukaryotic SRP19 and SRP54 proteins. In most bacteria, the SRP consists of a 4.5S RNA and the Ffh protein (a homologue of the eukaryotic SRP54 protein). Lineage: Bacteria; Bacillati; Bacillota; Clostridia; Eubacteriales; Syntrophomonadaceae. The record is from RNAcentral. RNAcentral also lists the same sequence under 1 other name.